AGGGGUAUUUGCAAGAAAUGUCUUGCAAGUGUCAAGAACACACCUUUCGAAGGUGUUGUAAAUUGUUCUAGAAAAGUUCAAAACAGUUGGUUCUUCUACUUGAAUGCUUGAUUCCGUAUUAGUAACUAUGUUUUGCAAUCGUUGUAAAAGUGUGGCUAAUAAAAGGUAGAAGAUUUAUGAGAGAAGAGAAAGUACUUCACAUUCGGAACGUGAAUCAAAUGUAGAUCUCUACGAAAGCAGAUGGUACUUACUUCCUCAUAUGAACUACCAAAGAAAUUGGAAAAACCAAAGAUUGUCUUUACAUUCCAAUUUUAAGGAACUUAAUUCCAUCACUAUAAGGGAUGGAUGAAUGUUUUGUUUGACAAAACAUUGUUAUUUAUUAAUGAAUGAUUAGAUUAUUGUAAUCUAAUUGAUUGUCUCUAUAGUAGAGAUGAUAUGGUAGAGUUAACUAUUUAGAAUAUAACGAUACUUAAAACCCAAAAGGUUGCAAGGUGGUGACUAAUCCCAACUGAGUUGUGAUACCUCUAAAACAUAAAUUACGAGUUGGUCAUAGAUGGAUGCUUUGGAUCGUUAGAUCCGGAUCCAAUACCUUCUUAUUAAAAUUGUAUAGAGGCAAAAUGUUCGAAUCUUUAUUCUUUUGGAAAGGAAGAAAGAAUCACAAAGUUGUUGAGGUUAAUUCACUUAGAUGUUAGUGGCACUUGUCCACAACAUAAUACUACUCAUGUUGUAUGACAUUCACCGAAGAUCACUCUCGGUUGGACUAUAAUUUAUUUUGAAUAAACACAAGUCCGAAUACUUUGCAAAAGGUUUCAAAGAAUUCAAGAAAUGUAAGUUGAUGAGUAAGAUGUCUAAAGGUAACACUUUAGAACAGUUUUCUUGAAAGAUAUCAAGGAAAGAAGUAUCAUAAGAUAAUGGAUUUCUCCAUUAAGAGAAGAACGAACUCGAAAUAAGAUUUAGUGCGUUGGAUGUUAUCAAUUGCCCAUAUAUAGGAUAUAUACUUCUAAGACAAUAUGAUUGUCAAUUAGAAGAUCUUCCAAAAUUUUCAUGACUCCAUAGGAUGUAGUUGGAAAGAAAGACAAGUCUUAAUCAUGUUAAGAUUUGGGGUUGUGUGCUAAUAAGCAAUAUUUGUUUAAAGAAUUAUAUAGUGGGUAUCCUUAAAUUAACAUUUGGAUAUCACUUCUAUAAACCAACUAACAAAUGUUGUUUGUUGGGUAGUUCAUUGUAAUCCUACAAUAUGAUUUGCCUAACGCAAAUGAACGAGAGAUAGAACUCAAAGAAUGGGUUCUUCGAGAAACAAGAUAGUGAUCAACAAAUAUAACAACCUAGUUCCUAUACCACAAGCUCCAAGGUAGUCGAGAAGGAUUUAUAAACCGUCUCAGUUGAAUGGUUUGAACUUUAUGACUAUGUCAUAGAGUUGCACCUCUUAAUUCGAAGAAAUAAGAAUGAAAAUCCUUAUGAUUACAUUGAGUGUAUAUACGAUAUAUACUCAAGGAAAUGGUAAAGUACCAUUUGACCCGAAAUAAUGAAACCUCCAUAGCUAAUUGGUAGCUUAAGGUGACUACAAUUAAAGAGAUUGGUUGACUUGGAAGAAACCAUCUUUGACGUUGUCUUGGUUUCAAUUAAUUCGAAGAUUGCUAGCUACAACUAAAUGGUGAUUCAAUGUUUGGACAUAAUAUAGGUUUCCGAAACCAUUAUUAAGAUAGUCUUGAUAAUAUAUGUCUAAAACUGUGAAUCACAAGACAUGUAAGUUGUAGAGAUCCAACCAUCAUGGAUCUUAGCAAGCUAGUGGGAGUUAUAAGCGUCUUAUGAGAGAAAGAUCAAAUCGUUUGAUUUCUCAUAAAGAUGUAAAUGAAUCUUUUGUUUACUAAGUUUACAAAAGAUUAGUGGGAGUUAAUCAUAUUCCUAAAAUUGAAUAUAUAUGAUAUAUUAAUUUUGGAAAUGAAAAGAAUACUUCUUCGUUAAACUUAUGACUUUAAACAUUCUAUAACGAUAGAAUGUAUAUGGGAGAUAUAGUCUAAAUACAUGGGAUAGAAAUCUAUAAUGAUAUAUUUCAAGAUAUAAUUGGAUUAUAUCAAUCCCUAAUAAUAGACAAAAGAUGCUAGGAAGUUUCUGAUAUGAUGAUAAACUUCAAUUAGAAGGACGACUCUAGUGAGACUAGCAAGUUGCCCUUCUCAAAGGGAACGUACCCUUUGACUCCCAAAGAAAUAAUGCGUAAAUAGAAUCCUUUAUGCAUACGUAGAAAGGUGAUUUAUGUAUUUCAUAUUGUAUGAAAACAUUGAUAUGAGUUGUACCUAGAAAGGUACAAGACGAUAUCAGUGCAAGCCCAGGAUCAGAGCCAUGGCAACUGUCAAGUGAGUCCUUGAGUAUUUAAGAAAUACUAAAGGAUAGAUUCCUCAAAGAAUGAGGAAGAAUUAGAGUAACGAAAUGGAAGCGUAAAUGUAUUAUAUUAUGAAUCUAAUCCAUCAUUGGAUGUUUCUUCAUUAUGAAUGAAGAGAUAAUCAGAUAUCUCUUUAUUAUGACUAAAAGAGAUAUUUGGAUGGAAACAUUAAAAGUAAUGACUUUAGUGUGUUCCAUUGUGAAUGCAAAAUAUAUUGCUAUAUAGAAGCUUACAACAAUGUUGUUUGGAUGGGAAAGUUCAUUUAUGAACUCUUUAUUCGGUUCCAACCAGAAAGUGUCUCUAGUGUACUGACACUACGACAUUAAUGGGGCGAUAGCUCAAGCCAGGGAAUCAAGGUCUCAUCACGAUCCGAACUCAAAUGAGAGACUGAACCACAUGAUUGAGAAUCAUGUAUAAUGGUGAUGUCAUUAUUCUCAAGGUUGCUUCUAUGGAGAACACAUAGAUAUCCAUUGUCUCUAGUGCAAGUGGGAGAUUGUUGGAAAUGUGCCCUAAAACCAAUCAUAUGAUGAUAGUUUACGGACAUUUCACAUGUUAAACUAAUCUAGUUUAAUAUCAAGGGCAAAGAUUAUUGUUUUAAGCCGUCUCAUAUAAAUGUUAUAUGCUUAAACGAUAAGUCCAAGGAAUAUGUAAUUAGGAGAAUGUAAUUUAAACAAGUUAGAUUUAUGAGACCAUUCUCUUUCGUAUAUACAUAUCCUAAACGUUCCUGAUCAUAGGAUUGCCAAUUGGGCAUUGACAGUCCGUUAAGAUCAGUACGUGCUGUGCCUUCUCUCAGGGAGAGUGACUGGUCUCGAGUCAUUGGUAUGACUGACACCAAGACAAGUACGUAGGUGCUCAAUAAGGAAUGAGUUCAUUGAACACGAUCAACGAAGAGUUCUCAUACUCAUGUCACAUAAGAACUCAUGGUUGGGAUAAUGCAAAGUAGUCCUUUGACCUGAGGCAUCAUAGUUGUCUGUGUGCUUAGGUCUUUGAUCUUUGAUUAUGUCAAAGUCACUCAAUUCGCGGGUGUCCAUGGCAUAGUUGGGGUUAAGCCACUUAGCCGUGGAGGCAAGUGAAUGCGCAACAAGGGAUCUCUAACCUUCAAACCGUUUGAGGAAGAAUACUCUAUGAUAUGAUUAAGAAUCUCUGGCCAGAGUAUGAAUGAGAUUUAGGAAGUCGUUCCAAAUCACA
This 3565-nucleotide long non-coding RNA is filed under the name Malus domestica (apple). RNAcentral's name for it is "long non-coding RNA (MDOM_LNC013265)". The record is from RNAcentral. Lineage: Eukaryota; Viridiplantae; Streptophyta; Magnoliopsida; Rosales; Rosaceae.